AUGAUCUCGUGAAGAACUACUUUUUUUUGGGAGAGUAGAUAUAGCUUAGUAACUACUAAUAUAAUAUGGUUGAAUUAUCAUGCGACUGCUACCUUUUUUAUUUUUACCAUUAUGUCUUCCCACUUCUUCAGUAGACCAAAAUUGAUAGUAUUGUUUAUCAGAUCACACCUCAUCUUUUGUUUUGUUCUACUCUCAUGAGAUAUCUUAUUUCAGUGAGACUGAAUUGAAUGUUUUUGUUGCGUUUGAAUGUGCAGCUACAAACCUUUUCAAGAUGCUUCUCAAGUACAGGCCUGAGGACAAAGCUGCAAAGAAGGAGCGUCUUGUCAAAAGGGCUCAAGCUGAAGCUGAAGGAAAAACUCCCGAAACAAAGAAACCCAUUAUUGUGAAGUAUGGGCUUAAGCACAUCACUUACCUUAUUGAGCAGGUUUGUUUUGGUCUUGCAAAUUCUCUUCUACUUUCAAGCACAUCUCUUUUCAUCUAUGUAGUAACUAUUUUCCAUUGAUGUCUUUUCAGAACAAAGCUCAGUUAGUAGUGAUUGCUCAUGAUGUGGACCCAAUAGAGUUGGUUGUCUGGCUUCCUGCACUAUGCAGAAAGAUGGAAAUUCCAUACUGCAUUGUGAAGGGGAAAGCACGUUUAGGAUCGGUAAGUAAUACUAAGUCUGUAUUCUCAAUGCUUCUAAACCUAUGAGAUACUGAUAUUGAUGACUGUGCACAGAUCGUGCAUAAGAAAACUGCUUCAGCCUUGUGUUUGACAACCGUGAAGAAUGAAGACAAAAUGGAGUUCAGCAGAGUUUUGGAGGCAAUUAAGGUAUCUAUAUUAAUGGCUAGUUUGGUUUGCAUUUUGCCGUAAAGCUCUUCUAGGAUUCCUGUUGAUGCAUGUUUACUUUUUCAGGCUAACUUCAACGACAAGUACGAAGAGAACAGGAAGAAGUGGGGCGGUGGUAUCAUGGGCUCUAAGUCACAGGCCAGGACCAAGGCCAAAGAAAGAGUUCUAGCCAAGGAAGCUGCCCAGAGAUUGAACUAAGAGCUUGCUGUGAUAUAUACACUGCAAUUUAAUUAGAGAGAUGCUCUGCCAAGUUUUGUAUUUGGUUCACAUGCUUUACAUUGUUAAAGAUAUCAAGUACCUUUAUGUUUGCCUUGACAAUGAAUUAUCAGACAUUUUAUUAAAAAUUUUGUUAGUAUGUGUUUUUAUGGCUCCGAAAUGGCGUUUUUAUUUAAAUUCCUACACUUCACUACAAGUUCUUUCUUGAAAUAGUGCACUUAAAUGGAUGCUCCUCAAGCUCCAUGAUCUGAGUCUGUACUGUGUCAUGUAACACCACCAAAGUAAAUGAAACUUUUAGAGAUAUUGGUAAUCAGUUCAGAAGAAGUUGAGUACUUCAGGGCACAACCAUAAAUAAUUUUGAGUUUAAUUAGCAACUUUUCUAGCGUACAAAAAAAGAACUUCCAAACACUUUCCCCAGAGUUUGCAAUCACAAGCUUUUCGAAAAUCAAAGAAAGUAACAAAAAGUGAUUCAUAAUUCACAAUAAUAGUCAAUCUAUUUGAAAUCCAUCUUGAAGACAAAACAAAGAGUGAACCAUUUGCAAAACAUGGGGGAAAAAAUUAGGAGAAAAUUUAAGUAUAAAUUAUAGGAACCACAUAUUAUAAUUACUUAAUAACAUCCUAUCCCUUCUAGUUUUUUAUUUACCAAAAAUCCCUUAAAAAUGAUGUUUGUGGGAUACAUAACAUUGUGCACGGGAUACAUUAGGUUUGAUACAUUCCAUAUAGCGGGAUACAUAGCAUUGUGCACGGGAUACAUUAGGUUUGAUACAUUCCAUAUAGCGGGAUACAUAGCAUUGUGCACGGGAUACAUUAGGUUUGAUACAUUCCAUAUAGCGGGAUACAUAGCAUUGUGCACGGGAUACAUUAGGUUUGAUACAUUCCAUAUAGCGGGGGGAUACAUAGUGUUGUGCACGGGAUACAUUAGGUUUGAUACAUUCCACAUAACGGGAUACAUAGCGUUGUGCACGGGAUACAUAGGUAAAAUAAGGGAUUUUUGAAAAUUUUGAAAUAAGUUGGGAUAAAUGGAUAUUAAGGUAGGUAAAUGAGUGUAGUUAAGUAAUUUGUCCAAAAAUUUAAUCUAAAGGCAUAGCUUCAAAUUUUAAUUAAAUUUAUAAUCAGAUUUUAUUCCACAUUGAAUAUGACUAUUUCUCAACUAAUUUGCAAAGUGGCUAUUAUUUAAAUAGAUUGUCGAAUGGCUAGGUCGUGCUAAUUUUUCUUAUUAAAAGGAGUCCAUGGCCCAAAUCCAUACAAAUUCGCUUAUGCCUUAUAUAAGAUAGGCUGUUUCUCCGGGUUUAGUCCUCCGGUCGCCGUCUCAAGCAAAAAUGGUAAAGCUCUUAGCCAUGGUUAACUUCCUUCUUCUUCACAACUCCUUUUUGGAAUAUGUAAUCUCAUUUUUGUUUCUUUCUUUGCGGAAAAUGUAGGCUCCAAAGAAGGGUGUUGCAGUAGCAGCAAAGAAGAAGCCAGAGAAGGCGAAGGUGGUGAAUCCACUGUUCGAGAAGCGGCCAAAGCAGUUCGGUAUCGGUGGAGCGCUGCCGCCGAAGAAGGAUGUAACAAGGAAUGUAAGAUGGCCUCGGAAUGUUACCCUACAAAGGAAGAAGAGAAUUCUCAAGAUGCGAUUGAAGGUUCCUCCUGCUCUAAACCAGUUCACCAAAACCCUUGAUAAGAAUCUCGGUCAGUAUACUACUAUUAUCCUAAUCUUUUCCUGUUGCGAUUUUGGUUAAUUAGUUGCUGUUAACAAUUAGACAACCAAUCAUCUAUUUCCAAUUCACUGUAAUUGCAGCUGCUUAUAAUGAUAAUACUUUUUACCUGUAUAUUCAUUUCGCACUAUUUUGUCGAGCUAGUUAGUAUUAUUUGUUUUAGCUUUUAUGUAAGUAUGUUUGAUGCUGCAUGUUAUCAAUGUGAACUUUUACGGAACUUGUGUCAUGACUCACGAGUAGCAAAGAAAUUAUUAGGAAUUGAGUAUUUUAUUGGAAUUUGGAACUAUAAUGUGUUUCCAUAGAUGUUUGAACUAUGCCUCACUUACUUGAAGACAAUUGAAUGAGUUGUUAUUGUGCUUGGCUUGUGGAUUCUUAUAAUUCCAAUUAUGUCACCUCUCGGUGAAAGUUUGCUAAGACCGCGUCUUUUGAUGGGCGAGCAAUAUGGAUGACACCUCCAGGCUCACAUCUCUGAAACUGUUGGCUGGCUUAUUUUAUUAGUUCAUAACCAACUAACCAAGUGGCAGACUGAGCUAUUAUUGUCCCUUGUAGAAACUGUGAAGAAUAUUAUUUUCCCUUUUAGAAGAAGCUUUUUUGGGGAGAAGUACAGUUAAUUCAGAAACUACCACUGUUAUAUUUUGUUGGAAUUCAUCAUGGAAUAAUACAUUUUGCAUAUUUUUAGUAUUAUACAUUUGUGUUGUUUCUUUAAGGGGUGUUAGAUUUGAUUGUACCAAAUCAGAUAGUGAUAUUUGUUCAAGACAAUUUUUUUCCAGCAUGUUGGACUUUACUGUCUCUCUGCCUAUAGAAUCAUGUUAGACUUUACUGUCUCUCUGCCUAUAGAAUCAUGUUGGACUAUAGGGAAAUGAUUAAGUAGUGGUCAGUGUAUUUUUGUCUCUUCAUUUCUUAUUUCUCAUUUUCUUUUGUAAAAUGGACUUGUGCUUUUUUGUGGUUUUGGAAAGUAAAAAAUUACUGGGGCAUUUAUAAUUUUUUGUUGCAUUUGCUUUUCACUGCUAACCUAACACCUGAAAUCAUCCUGAAAAUAUAUCGAUCAUUUUGUGGCAAAAUACUUUGUUUUGGGAAAAUGUAGUAUUACCUUUUUGUAGUCAUUCUUAAAAGGCUAAGUUGCUGCCAUGUAACCAUUAUUUAUCAUCUCUCAACUCAUUUGUUUUUCUUUACUUGCAUGAGUUAUUUAUUUCAGUGAUACUGAUUUGAAUUUUUCCAAUGUCUUUGCCUUCUGAAUGCAGCUACAAACCUUUUCAAGAUGCUUCUUAAGUACAGGCCUGAGGACAAAGCUGCAAAGAAGGAGCGUCUUGUCAAAAGGGCUCAAGCUGAAGCCGAAGGAAAAACUCCCGAGACAAAGAAACCUAUUAUUGUGAAGUAUGGGCUUAAGCACAUCACUUAC
RNAcentral lists this long non-coding RNA (4134 nucleotides) under Solanum tuberosum (potato). RNAcentral describes it as "long non-coding RNA (STUB_LNC006707)". The record is from RNAcentral. Lineage: Eukaryota; Viridiplantae; Streptophyta; Magnoliopsida; Solanales; Solanaceae.